Molecule: transfer RNA, 119 nt
Organism: Melampsora larici-populina 98AG31
Lineage: Eukaryota; Fungi; Basidiomycota; Pucciniomycetes; Pucciniales; Melampsoraceae
Rfam family: tRNA
About the family: Transfer RNA (tRNA) molecules are approximately 80 nucleotides in length.
Source: Rfam
CCCGACAUAGCUCAGUUGGAAGAGCAUGAGACUGUAAUGGAACAAAAUCGACAUCAUCUCUUUGUGAGAAGGUGUCUGCCCUCAUCUCAGGGUCGCUGGUUCGAACCCGGCUGUUGGGA